UACGGAGGGGGCGAGCGUUGUUCGGAAUCACUGGGUGUAAAGGGUGCGUAGGCGGUGCGUUAAGUCUGAUGUGAAAGCCCUGGGCUCAACUCAGGAAUUGCAUUGGAAACUGGCGUGCCGGAGUACGGGAGAGGGAAGCGGAAUUCCUGGUGUAGCGGUGAAAUGCGUAGAUACCAGGAGGAACACCGGUGGCGAAGGCGGUUUCCUGGCCCAGUACUGACGCUGAGGCACGAAAGCGUGGGGAGCGAACGGG
Molecule: ribosomal RNA, 253 nt
Filed under: uncultured bacterium
Lineage: Bacteria
Description: partial 16S ribosomal RNA
Rfam family: Bacterial small subunit ribosomal RNA
Source: RNAcentral